UCGGGUAUGGUGUAGCGGUAACAUCGUUGACUCUCACUUCCCAGAAGUGUCUGUUUCUCUCAACAGCCCCGGGUUCGACUCCCGGUAUCCGAG
Podospora anserina is the source of this 93-nucleotide transfer RNA. It matches the Rfam family "tRNA". From Rfam's summary of the family: Transfer RNA (tRNA) molecules are approximately 80 nucleotides in length. Their secondary structure includes four short double-helical elements and three loops (D, anti-codon, and T loops). Lineage: Eukaryota; Fungi; Ascomycota; Sordariomycetes; Sordariales; Podosporaceae. The record is from Rfam.